RNAcentral lists this ribosomal RNA (253 nucleotides) under uncultured bacterium. Its description in RNAcentral is "partial 16S ribosomal RNA". It matches the Rfam family "Bacterial small subunit ribosomal RNA", at positions 524 to 776 of the family's 1533-position model. The record is from RNAcentral.
UACGUAGGGCGCAAGCGUUGUCCGGAAUUAUUGGGCGUAAAGAGCUCGUAGGCGGUCUGUCGCGUCGGAUGUGAAAGCCCGGGGCUUAACCCCGGGUCUGCAUUCGAUACGGGCAGACUAGAGUGUGGUAGGGGAGAUCGGAAUUCCUGGUGUAGCGGUGAAAUGCGCAGAUAUCAGGAGGAACACCGAUGGCGAAGGCAGCUCACUGGGACGGUACUGACGCUGAGACGCGAAAGCGUGGGGAGCAAACAGG